Molecule: small nuclear RNA, 108 nt
Organism: Callithrix jacchus (white-tufted-ear marmoset)
Lineage: Eukaryota; Metazoa; Chordata; Mammalia; Primates; Cebidae
Source: Ensembl
GUGCUUCCUUUGGCAACACAUAUACUAAAAUUGGAAUGAUACAGAGAAGAUUGGCAUGGCCCCUGCACAAGGAUGACGUGCAAAAUUCACAAAGCAUUAAAAAAAUCA